RNAcentral lists this unclassified non-coding RNA (373 nucleotides) under soil metagenome. RNAcentral describes it as "partial contains 5.8S ribosomal RNA, internal transcribed spacer 2, and large subunit ribosomal RNA". The stretch from base 1 to 121 matches the Rfam family "5.8S ribosomal RNA", at positions 35 to 154 of the family's 154-position model. The record is from RNAcentral.
GAUGAAGAACGCAGCGAAAUGCGAUAAGUAAUGCGAAUUGCAGAAUUCCAGUGAGUCAUCGAAUCUUUGAACGCACAUUGCGCCCUUUGGUAUUCCGAAGGGCAUGCCUGUUCGAGCGUCAUUAUCACCCCUCAAGCCCUCGGCUUGGUGUUGGACGGUUUGGUGGAGGCCCCCUCGGGGGCUCCUGCCCCUCCCAAAGACAAUGACGGCGGCCUCGUUGGACCCCCGGUACACUGAGUUCUUCACGGGACACGUAUCGGACACAUGCGUUUACGGGACACGGUCUGCCUCCCCUCAGGGAGAAUCUUUCUAAGGUUGACCUCGGAUCAGGUAGGGAUACCCGCUGAACUUAAGCAUAUCAAUAAGCGGAGGA